UGAGCAAUCUGCCCUUCUCAUCGGAAUAAGCGUUGGAAACGACGUCUAAUGCCGAAUACGACCUCCUUUCGCAUGAUCGGAGGUGGAAAGCUCCGGCGGAGAAGGAUGAGCUCGCGGCCAUUUUCAGCUAGUUGGUGUGGGUAAUGGCCCACCAAGGCGACGACGGGUAGCCGGCCUGAGAGGGUGACCGGCCACACUGGGACUGAGACGCGGCCCAGACUCCUACGGGAGCA
RNAcentral lists this ribosomal RNA (233 nucleotides) under uncultured bacterium. Its description in RNAcentral is "partial 16S ribosomal RNA". It matches the Rfam family "Bacterial small subunit ribosomal RNA", at positions 118 to 347 of the family's 1533-position model. The record is from RNAcentral.